RNAcentral lists this ribosomal RNA (497 nucleotides) under uncultured bacterium. Its description in RNAcentral is "partial 16S ribosomal RNA". It matches the Rfam family "Bacterial small subunit ribosomal RNA", at positions 28 to 507 of the family's 1533-position model. The record is from RNAcentral.
GAUGAACGCUGGCGGCGUGCCUAAUACAUGCAAGUCGAGCGAACAGACGAGGAGCUUGCUCCUCUGACGUUAGCGGCGGACGGGUGAGUAACACGUGGAUAACCUACCUAUAAGACUGGGAUAACUUCGUGAAACCGGAGCUAAUACCGGAUAAUAUAUUGAACCGCAUGGUUCAAUAGUGAAAGACGGUUUUGCUGUCACUUAUCGAUGGAUCCGCGCCGCAUUAGCUAGUUGGUAAGGUAACGGCUUACCAAGGCGACGAUGCGUAGCCGACCUGAGAGGGUGAUCGGCCACACUGGAACUGAGACACGGUCCAGACUCCUACGGGAGGCAGCAGUAGGGAAUCUUCCGCAAUGGGCGAAAGCCUGACGGAGCAACGCCGCGUGAGUGAUGAAGGUCUUCGGAUCGUAAAACUCUGUUAUUAGGGAAGAACAAAUGUGUAAGUAACUAUGCACGUCUUGACGGUACCUAAUCAGAAAGCCACGGCUAACUACGUG